GAUGAACGCUGGCGGCGUGCUUAACACAUGCAAGUCGAACGGGAUCCAAGGGGUGCUUGCACUUUUUGGUGAGAGGGGCGAACGGGUGAGUAACACGUGAGCAACCUGUCCUUUUCUUUGGGAUAAGCAUUCGAAAGGGUGUUUAAUACCUUAUGUUCUGUCUGCCUCGCAUGGGGUGGGUGGGAAAGGCUUUGGCCGGAGUUGGGUGGGCUCGCGGUCUAUCAGCUUGUUGGUGGGGUGAUGGCUUACCAAGGCUUUGACGGGUAGCCGGCCUGAGAGGGUGGUCGGUGACAUUCGGCCUGAGUUGCGCCCCAGUCUCGUGCGGGCGGCAGCAGUGGGGGAUAUUGCACAAUGGGCGAAAGUCUGAUGCAGCGACGCGGCGUGGGGCAUGGAGGCCUUCGGGUUGUAUACUUCUGUUGCUCUGAUCCAGGCAUGCCAGUGCGUGUGUUGCGUUUAGGGGUUGAUUAGCGCCGGCUAACUACGUG
This 485-nucleotide ribosomal RNA is filed under the name uncultured bacterium. RNAcentral describes it as "partial 16S ribosomal RNA". It matches the Rfam family "Bacterial small subunit ribosomal RNA", at positions 28 to 507 of the family's 1533-position model. The record is from RNAcentral.